AAGCGUUGACAUAAGGUGUUGCGCCAGAAGGCAGUGCCUUACGAGCUUUGAAUGGGUUUCACGUUUACCGCAUUCUGGCUAGACUGUAAAUGCAGUUGAAAGAAAACGUCAGGG
The submitters of this non-coding RNA (114 nucleotides) gave its source as unclassified sequences. The record is from Rfam.